Molecule: ribosomal RNA, 57 nt
Filed under: uncultured bacterium
Lineage: Bacteria
Description: partial 16S ribosomal RNA
Source: RNAcentral
CCCUCUGGGUCGUAAACUGCUUUUAUUCGGGAAUAAACCUCAUUACGUGUAAUGAGC